GACGGGGACCCGCACAAGCGGUGGAUGAUGUGGAUUAAUUCGAUGCAACGCGAAAACCUUACCUACCCUUGACAUCCCGGAAUCCCUUGGAAACAAGGGAGUGCCCUUCGGGGAACCUGGAGACAGGUGCUGCAUGGCUGUCGUCAGCUCGUGUCGUGAGAUGUAGGGUUAAGUCCCGCAACGAGCGCAACCCUUGUCUUUAAUUGCCAUCAUUGAGUUGGGCACUUUAAAGAGACUGCCGGUGUUAAACCGGAGGAAGGUGGGGAUGACGUCAAGUCCUCAUGGCCCUUAUAGGUGGGGCUACACACGUCAUACAAUGGAUGGUACAAAGGGUCGCCAACCCGCGAGGGGGAGCCAAUCCCAUAAAGCCAUUCGUAGUCCGGAUCGCAGUCUGCAACUCGACUGCGUGAAGUCGGAAUCGCUAGUAAUCGUGGAUCAGAAUGUCACGGUGAAUACGUUCCCGGGUCUU
RNAcentral lists this ribosomal RNA (469 nucleotides) under uncultured Zoogloea sp. RNAcentral's name for it is "bacterial SSU rRNA". It matches the Rfam family "Bacterial small subunit ribosomal RNA", at positions 912 to 1382 of the family's 1533-position model. The record is from RNAcentral. Lineage: Bacteria; Pseudomonadati; Pseudomonadota; Betaproteobacteria; Rhodocyclales; Zoogloeaceae.